RNAcentral lists this unclassified non-coding RNA (2332 nucleotides) under Hevea brasiliensis (rubber tree). The record is from RNAcentral. Lineage: Eukaryota; Viridiplantae; Streptophyta; Magnoliopsida; Malpighiales; Euphorbiaceae.
GCAAAAUACAUCUAUUUAUAAGAAGGGCUCAAAAACACAGGUGAAAGGCUCAGUUAGUUGAUUUAGCAUUUUCAUAAAACAUGCCAUAAGCUUAAAUUUCAAGAAUAUCAUUUUAACUGAGAUCACAUCUGAAAAGCCUUCAAUCAAGUGAAUAAGGAACAUUUGUUUUCAAGUUUAACGGUCUAAUCUGUCUGGUGAAAAUGGAAGAAUAGCAUAUGGGAUCUAAACAACAGCAUCUAACAUGCAACCGAAACCAAUUAAGGGAUCCGCAACCUCAGUUGUCUGCCUCGUGAAAAUGUCUUUAAGCUUCCACAUCUCAUUGUCAUGUCUGAUCGUUUAGCCGAGAACUUUCAGCAGCUAGCAAGACUAAUUGCUCCACAAAACAGAAGGCAAAAGAAGGUCCACUUUAGGAAUGAUCACCGGAUCAAUUGUCACCUAAACCAAUUUCCAAUAAAACCAACAAUUGGUAGAUCUAAUGGUGUAAAAGAUUGGGAGACUUUUGUCUAAAAAGCCCAUGUGUUGAGAGAGAGUUGUUGGACAGCAGAAAGUUGCAGAGUAAAAUUUACUUGUUUCAGGCUUAUUCCACUUCAGAACAGGUAGGGAAAAGAGAGGAGGAAAAGAAUAGCAGUAAUAUAAUAGAAAACCAACCCCAGUAUCUUUGAACGAAAGGAUCAGCACCAAUUAAACAACAUUUGCGCAUAGUAUUGUACCUGAUUCAUUGUCAUGUAUAUUGCCACAUUUAAGACCUCAUGAAAAUACAGCAUUAACAAAGGCCUCAGCGUCAAAGGGUUGCAGAUCUUCAACACCUUCUCCAACACCUACAAACUUUACAGGGAUGCCAAGCUCAUCUACAACACUGACCUGCAAGAGCAAAUUAGAGUCUCACUAAUUGACAAAUCUCAAAAAAGGAAAACAUCACUGAAACCGGAGCAUACCACACAGCCACCUCUAGCAGAACCAUCAAGUUUAGUCAAAAUCAAACCAGUUAUUCCAACCACCUGUCAUGAAAAAUUGCAAGUCAAAAGACUAUGCAGGAUGUCUUACACCUAUGGCAAGAGUUAGGUGUCAAACCAAGCUAAGCAGGGCAAUAUUACAUCAAUGGAAGGAUAAAAGAAAAUUUGACAGGAUAUAAAAGAAGGCAUUACAACAUCAAAUGAGACAUUCUACGCAAGCAAUAAAUUAUCAAUUGCUACCAUGGUUUCCUGGUUUUUGAUAAUGUUAAAAUUACAGAAUGAUUAUUUUUUCAUCUUUUCAGAUAGGCUUGAAAAUAUUUAAAGUUAUUCUGUUAGGACAACCUUACCAACAGAGGCAAGUUUGACAAAGCAUGAAACAAGCAUAAUCUGUAAGGAGGUGAUUGUGUCAUCAACUAAAUAACCAUAACAAACUUUCAUCACAUGACCUCCGGCAUGCAUAUAUUCACAAGUCUCACUGGCUUAUAUAACAGAUAAUUACAAAUGGGACAAUAAGUUGUUCUUCACAUAAGUAGCAAGCUAUCUUUUUUGGGGCAAAGGAUGGGAAUAUUACUUCAUUAAACUCUCUUGCUUGUGGAAGCAUAUUCAAACCAGUGUUCCCAUCUAGCACUAGAAGGAUCUCCUGCAAAUUAAAUUAGAUAUUUGGGAUACCAAACAGAGAAACAACUAUUCAACUUAUUCAAAUGCAUUCUCGUAAUCAAAGAUCAAAACUAUAUUUACUGUCUCUAAAAUCAAGAUGGAAACAGAAUUGCUAGACAGCAGAAGAUUCAUAGAAAGAUUAUAAUUGCACCUAAAAUUUAAUAAUAUUAGCGACUUGUAUAUUACCUGCAAAAAGUACUAUUGGAGAUAAAAAGCCAACAAUACAGAAGAAGAAAAUUGGAAUACAAUAUUCUACAAUCUGCUCAAACCUAUUGAAUUCUACAGGAGAUAUUUAAAUGCUUCAAGGAUCAUAAUGAUGUUGAAGGCUUCAAAUAGUUGAGUAGAGCUUACAUUAGGUGCACCAGGAACAACUUUGCCAACAGCUUUCUUACAUGCUAUCAACUCUUCCAUCAGGCUGUAGUUAGUGUGAAGACCUGAAAAAAUAGGUACAACUUUUUUUUUUCUGGAGUAAAACUGAAUGGAAAGCUCAUAAAACUAAUGACGGCAGACCAUCAAAGCUUCACAUGCUUACGUCCUGAUGUAUCACACAAUACAACAUCAAAGCCUUGUUCUUUCCCUCUUUUUACAGCCUGUGAAAGAACUGAUGAUGCUUUGAUCUUCUCCUUCUCAGCCACAACAAUAUCACAUCCAGUUCUUUCAGCCCAUAUCUCCAGCUGAUCACUGGCAGCUGCCCUAAAUGUAUCACCUGCUGCCAUUAAUAU